Molecule: ribosomal RNA, 253 nt
Filed under: uncultured bacterium
Lineage: Bacteria
Description: partial 16S ribosomal RNA
Rfam family: Bacterial small subunit ribosomal RNA
Source: RNAcentral
GACAGAGGUGCCGAGCGUUAGGCGGAAUCACUGGGCUUAAAGCGUGUGUAGGCGGGUCGGUAAGUGGCUUGUGAAAUCCCACCGCUCAACGGUGGAACUGCUGGGCAUACUGGCGAUCUUGAGCCACCUAGGGGCGAGCGGAACAAGCGGUGGAGCGGUGAAAUGCGUAGAUAUCGCUUGGAACGCCGACGGUGAAAACAGCUCGCUGGGGGUGUGCUGACGCUGAGACACGAAAGCCAGGGGAGCGAACGGG